GUCUACGGCCAUACCACCCUGAACGCGCCCGAUCUCGUCUGAUCUCGGAAGCUAAGCAGGGUCGGGCCUGGUUAGUACUUGGAUGGGAGAUUGCCAAGAAACAGGUUCCAUUUCUU
Molecule: ribosomal RNA, 116 nt
Filed under: Mustela putorius furo (domestic ferret)
Lineage: Eukaryota; Metazoa; Chordata; Mammalia; Carnivora; Mustelidae
Source: RNAcentral